GAGCCGUUAGAGAAAAUGGACAAGAAGUCCCAAUUACAUACAGACAAAAAAAACCUGGAGAGAAUUAAUAUAUUUUAUGGGAAAAUGAAAAUGAGAAUAAUGGUCGUAGUAUGAACGUAGUCAGGUCGUGAGAAGAGCGUAAUGAGGACGGCAAGGGCAUGCUAGAAUCGUACUAUGGUCGUGAACAGCGUGGUAUAGUCGUAGUGGAAGCGUAGUUUGGUCGCGGUGAGAACGUGAUGAUCGUAGUGAGGUCGUAAUAACGUCGCAGUGAGAUCGUAGCGCAGUUUCUCCGAAUAGAAUCGCGCUUUCGCUACGCUCUCACUACGAUGGUACAGCGACCUUUGCGAUCUUACUACGAUCUUAGUGCGCUCUCACUACGCUUCUACUACGACCUGAUUUGGCCACGAUCUCACCACGAUUGUUUUGAACAUGUUCAAAGUUGGCCACGCUCAUCGCGAUCUUGAAGACCUCACCACGACCAUGAUACGACCUUACUGAGAU
RNAcentral lists this long non-coding RNA (501 nucleotides) under Mytilus galloprovincialis (Mediterranean mussel). Lineage: Eukaryota; Metazoa; Mollusca; Bivalvia; Mytilida; Mytilidae. The record is from RNAcentral.